Molecule: ribosomal RNA, 253 nt
Filed under: uncultured bacterium
Lineage: Bacteria
Description: partial 16S ribosomal RNA
Rfam family: Bacterial small subunit ribosomal RNA
Source: RNAcentral
UACGAAGGGUGCAAGCGUUACUCGGAAUUACUGGGCGUAAAGCGUGCGUAGGUGGUUUGUUAAGUCUGUUGUGAAAGCCCCGGGCUCAACCUGGGAAUGGCAAUGGAUACUGGCAAGCUAGAGUGCGGUAGAGGGUAGUGGAAUUCCCGGUGUAGCGGUGAAAUGCGUAGAGAUCGGGAGGAACACCAGUGGCGAAGGCGGCUACCCGGACCAGCACUGACACUGAGGCACGAAAGCCAGGGGAGCAAACGGG